UAGGAAUGAAAUCGCCACUGUAAGAUUGC
Molecule: non-coding RNA, 29 nt
Filed under: Bombyx mori (domestic silkworm)
Lineage: Eukaryota; Metazoa; Arthropoda; Insecta; Lepidoptera; Bombycidae
Source: RNAcentral